ACGAACGCUGGCGGCGUGCUUAACACAUGCAAGUCGAACGGAAAGGCCCUGCUUUUGUGGGGUGCUCGAGUGGCGAACGGGUGAGUAACACGUGAGUAACCUGCCCUUGACUUUGGGAUAACUUCAGGAAACUGGGGCUAAUACCGGAUAGGAGCUCCUGCUGCAUGGUGGGGGUUGGAAAGUUUCGGCGGUUGGGGAUGGACUCGCGGCUUAUCAGCUUGUUGGUGGGGUAGUGGCUUACCAAGGCUUUGACGGGUAGCCGGCCUGAGAGGGUGACCGGCCACAUUGGGACUGAGAUACGGCCCAGACUCCUACGGGAGGCAGCAGUGGGGAAUAUUGCACAAUGGGCGGAAGCCUGAUGCAGCAACGCCGCGUGCGGGAUGACGGCCUUCGGGUUGUAAACCGCUUUCGCCUGUGACGAAGCGUGAGUGACGGUAAUGGGUAAAGAAGCACCGGCUAUCUACGUG
RNAcentral lists this ribosomal RNA (467 nucleotides) under uncultured bacterium. RNAcentral describes it as "partial 16S ribosomal RNA". It matches the Rfam family "Bacterial small subunit ribosomal RNA", at positions 29 to 507 of the family's 1533-position model. The record is from RNAcentral.